Papaver somniferum (opium poppy) is the source of this 1377-nucleotide RNA transcript. RefSeq lists it as uncharacterized. The record is from RefSeq and is a predicted model, not a curated record. NCBI's taxonomy places the organism in Eukaryota, Viridiplantae, Streptophyta, Magnoliopsida, Ranunculales, Papaveraceae. The transcript has 3 exons.
UCAAAACCAGAAAUCAAAGACCAAAAAAAGAUCAAAUUUUAGAUUUAGUGCGUGGUGUCACGCUACGGUACUGGAAUAUAUUUAAUCGAGCGGAAAUAUAGCCUUCGUUUGGGAACGAAGUUAUAAAGUUCGUCCCAAAGAGACGUACAUAUACAUUAGCUUGUUGUGGGGCGUUUGAAGAAAUGUACGCCUGGUAUGGGGCGUACAUAUAAUCCACGCGGGUACAAGGGACGGAGAUAUUACGCCUCUUCCUCCUCCUUCAUAUCCACCACCAACAACAACACAUCUGCUGCCACCAACCGGUUACGACGUUCAGAUCUGACAGCAACACCAUCUCCCCCAUCACCUCCUCCUCCACCUUCACCACCAGCAACAUCACCUUCUCGAUUAAUAUGCUGACAAAUCUCUUAAAUUCAAGAUCUUGAUUUGCAGGUGCUGGUAUUUUGUAUUGGUAUCUAUGAAUUUGGGAAAUCUCAAUUGAAAAAAUUCUGGUGCUGGUAUUUCUGUGCUAGGUUCUAUGAAUUUUGGAAAUCUUUGGAUUUCAGCAUGGAAAAAAUUCUUUCACCAGAAGCUAGUCGUCUGCAAUCAGAAUUUGCAAAAAGUGAGUUAUUGACUUCUUCUUUUUCUGUUAAAUAGGAGCGUGAGUUCUUAUAGAUAAAUUAUUACCAUACAAUAUGUUUUGUAAUCUCAAUAUAUGAGUUCUUAUAACAAUCAUACAUUUGCCAAGUAUUUCUUGUUACUUAGUGAAUCAUAUCAGUUUUUUUUGGACAAUUAAAUUACUUUUAAGUAACAUAAACUGCAUUUGCUACACCAAGAAAGAUUGUAUUGACGAAACUAAAUUUUGUUAGUAACAUUUUUUUGUUGAAACCAAUUUUGGUUUCAUCUGAUUUUUUUCAUUUUCUAUGAAAUCAGUUUUGGUUUCAUUUUAUUUUGAAGUUUUUAUCAACGAAACCCCUAGUAAUAUAGUUAUUUUCUGUUUUGGUGGCGUCUGGUUGGUGUUUAUGGAAGCGGUAACGGCGGUGGCGCAGUGGAGAUGGUGGUGGCCGAUAAUGGCGGUGGCGAGGUAAUGGUAGUGGUGGUUAUGGUUCUAGUGGUUGUGGCGGCGAUGGGGGUGGUGCAUAAAGAUAGUUGCAAGUAUGCAAGAUCUUCUAGGGAUUGGAGAGUACAGCCCUAGUUCGACCAACUUUCAUUGAUUAUAAAACACUCAAGAGUACAUUUAUGAUGAAACCAAUUUCGGUUUCAUCUAAAUUUGGUGAAACCGAUUUUGGUUUCAUCUAAUCUUGCCUUAUUUUUCUUUUGAAAUUUUUCGGUGAAACCAACGUUGUUGGUGAUAAAUAAUAUUCUAUUGAAACAAGUAUUGAUUUCAUCUGCAUUUGA